GUUUGAUCCUGGCUCGAAUGAACGCUGGCGGCAGGCCUAACACAUGCAAGUCGAACGGAGUUAUAUUGUAGCUUGCUAUGGUAUAACUUAGUGGCAGACGGGUGAGUAAUGUAUAGGAAUCUACCUAGUAGUACGGAAUAAUUGUUGGAAACGGCAACUAAUACCGUAUACGCCCUACGGGGGAAAAAUUUAUUGCUAUUAGAUGAGCCUAUAUUAGAUUAGCUAGUUGGUGGAGUAAUAGCCUACCAAGGCAAUGAUCUAUAGCUGAUCUGAGAGGAUGAUCAGCCACACUGGAACUGAGAUACGGUCCAGACUCCUACGGGAGGCAGCAGUGGGGAAUAUUGGACAAUGGGCGAAAGCCUGAUCCAGCCAUGCCGCAUGAGUGAAGAAGGCCUUUGGGUUGUAAAGCUCUUUUAGUGAGGAAGAUAAUGACGGUACUCACAGAAGAAGUCCUGGCUAACUCCGUGCCAGCAACCGCGGUAAUACGGAGAGGGCUAGCGUUAUUCGGAAUUAUUGGGCGUAAAGGGCGCGUAGGCGGAUUAGUAAGUUAAAAGUGAAAUCCCAAGGCUCAACCUUGGAAUUGCUUUUAAAACUGCUAAUCUAGAGAUUGAAAGAGGAUAGAGGAAUUCCUAGUGUAGAGGUGAAAUUCGUAAAUAUUAGGAGGAACACCAGUGGCGAAGGCGUCUAUCUGGUUCAAAUCUGACGCUGAGGCGCGAAGGCGUGGGGAGCAAACAGGAUUAGAUACCCUGGUAGUCCACGCUGUAAACGAUGAAUGUUAAAUAUGGGAAGUUUUACUUUCUGUAUUACAGCUAACGCGUUAAACAUUCCGCCUGGGGACUACGGUCGCCAGAUUAAAACUCAAAGGGAUUGACGGGGACCCGCACAA
Molecule: ribosomal RNA, 886 nt
Filed under: uncultured bacterium
Lineage: Bacteria
Description: bacterial SSU rRNA
Rfam family: Bacterial small subunit ribosomal RNA
Source: RNAcentral